RNAcentral lists this ribosomal RNA (378 nucleotides) under Sclerophrys maculata (flat-backed toad). Its description in RNAcentral is "partial 12S ribosomal RNA". It matches the Rfam family "Bacterial small subunit ribosomal RNA", at positions 794 to 1384 of the family's 1533-position model. Lineage: Eukaryota; Metazoa; Chordata; Amphibia; Anura; Bufonidae. The record is from RNAcentral.
GCCCAGCCGUAAACUUUUAUUUACAUCUAAAUCGCCAGGGAACUACGAGCUAAGCUUAAAACCCAAAGGACUUGACGGUACCCCACAUCCUACUAGAGGAGCCUGUUCUGUAAUCGAUAAUCCGCGUUUAACCUCACCAUCUUUAGUUAAUCAGCCUGUAUACCUCCGUCGUCAGCUUACCACGUGAGCGCAAAUUAGUGGGCCCAAUGUUAUUACACCAAUACGUCAGGUCAAGGUGCAGCAAAUAAGAUGGGAAGAGAUGGGCUACACUUUCUAUUUUAGAAAAAACGGAAAACUACCUAUGAAACCUAGUUGGAAGGCGGAUUUAGCAGUAAAAAGGAAUCAACACGUCCAUUUUAACUUGGCACUGGGGUGUGU